GUGCAUGCUUUUCUCUCCAUUUCAACUUAGUUAAAUAAAAAAGAGAAGCAAAAAUUGAAGAAGAGGAGUGAGUCUUCUUCGUGGAUUCUCUCUCAUUUCUUCAUAUAGCUCACUCCAAAACGCACUCUCACAAACAUCAUAAACCACUUGAAGCAUGAAUAAAUAGAACAAAAAAUGAAAAAUAUUACUUCAUUCACAUCAUUAAAACAGCCUUCAAAUACACCACACAAAACAACAAUUAUUCAUCAUCUUCAAAACUCUCACCAUCCUCUUUCAUUCAACUACCACCUCAAUAACAACCGCUUUUUUACCGUCGUGAAAAUCUCUUCCAACCACCACCAAACAUGACUUCGACUCUACCAGAACUAUAGGUCAAUAAUCCGCCGCGAACC
This 392-nucleotide long non-coding RNA is filed under the name Lathyrus oleraceus (garden pea). RNAcentral's name for it is "Pisum sativum (pea) long non-coding RNA (PSAT_LNC028555)". Lineage: Eukaryota; Viridiplantae; Streptophyta; Magnoliopsida; Fabales; Fabaceae. The record is from RNAcentral.